Molecule: RNA transcript, 1479 nt
Organism: Phyllopteryx taeniolatus (common seadragon)
Lineage: Eukaryota; Metazoa; Chordata; Actinopteri; Syngnathiformes; Syngnathidae
Gene: degs1
Gene name: delta(4)-desaturase, sphingolipid 1
Exons: 4
Source: RefSeq, a predicted model, not a curated record
GCUGUGACGUCAUAAGGGCGGGGUGGGGAAAGUGGAAAGCAGAAGUGAGGAGGAGGAGGACGACGACGACCACCAUUUUCUAACGCCGGAGACUUCAUUUGAACGUGUGUUUCACGGGAAAUUCUUUCAAGCUAUUUCCUCGAAGAUGGGGAAUCGGGUCACCCGCGAGGACUACGAAUGGGUUUAUACUGACCAACCGCAUGCUGACAGGAGGAAAGAGAUCCUUGUGAAAUAUCCACAAAUCAAGUCUCUGAUGGGUCCUGACCUAAGGCUGAAAUGGAUUGUGUGCAUCAUGGUGGCCAUACAAUUUUUCGCUUUUUAUUUCAUCAAAGAUAUGGACUGGAAAUGGGUUUUGUUUUGGACUUAUGCCUUCGGGAGCUGCAUCAACCAUUCAAUGACACUUGCUAUCCAUGAGAUCUCCCACAAUACCGCUUUUGGAAACAACAAAGCUACGUGGAACCGAUACUUUGCAAUGUUUGCCAACCUCCCUAUUGGAUUACCCUAUUCUGCCUCAUUCAAACGCUAUCACUUAGACCACCACCGCUACCUUGGAGGAGAUGGUGUAGAUGUAGACAUCCCAACUGAUUUUGAAGGCUGGUUCUUCUGUACACGUUUCCGCAAGUUCAUCUGGAUUAUUCUGCAGCCUCUUUUCUACGCCAUUCGACCUCUUUGUAUCAACCCCAAACCCAUAACUCAUUUGGAGCUGACUAAUGUUUUUGUUCAACUCACCUUUGACAUUCUGCUCUUUUGGGUGUGGGGCGUCAAACCUGUGGUGUACAUGCUGGCUGGCUCCAUGCUGGGUAUGGGUUUACACCCCAUCUCCGGUCACUUUAUAGCAGAACACUACAUGUUCCUCAAGGGUCAUGAAACCUACUCCUACUAUGGCUCCCUCAAUCUGCUCACCUUCAAUGUAGGGUAUCACAAUGAGCACCAUGACUUCCCCAGCAUUCCAGGACGUAGGCUACCUAUGCGCUGCAAUGCCGCUGCCAUUUUGACUGUGUGCAUCGCUUCUGGGUGGUGAACGCAUGAUAGCUUCGCUGAGAUCCCCUGAAGGAGGCUUGCAUUUCGCCGAUCUCUCCAAUGACCUGCAUGGAUACCAUGGAAGCGCCACCACUGAUUCGGAAAAGGAGCCAUCACAGAAGAGGCAGACUACAGCACGGCGCGGCAGAUUUUAAUGGGAGAAAGUUGAUCCAACACAGCGUGAAGCUAGAGUGGCUAGGUAGCCAGGAGGCUAAGUCCCAGCAGGCUAGCUGGAAAGGCGACAGCUUGGUCCGGUCCGUGAGGAUUCAUGGCACCAACGAUGAGCGCUAAACAGCCCCGGGAUUCUACCUGUGGCCAAGGUGAAGAAAAUAGCAGCAGAGUAUUAUGAUGACCUUCCGCAGUAUACGUCGUGGGUGAAGGUCCUGUACGACUUCAUCAUGGAUGACACAUUAAGCCCAUACUCACGAGUCAAGAGGAAGCUGAAAGGAGAUGUCAAAC